UAUGGUGACUAUAGCGUGGGUGUCCACCUCUUCCCAUUCCGAACAGAGAAGUUAAGCCCCACUGCGCUGAUGGUACUGGAUUUUUUCUGGGAGAGUAGGUCGUCGCCAACU
This 111-nucleotide ribosomal RNA is filed under the name Bacteroidota bacterium. Lineage: Bacteria; Pseudomonadati; Bacteroidota. The record is from RNAcentral.